GUCGAGGGGCAGCAUGGUCUUAGCUUGCUAAGACUGAUGGCGACCGGCGCACGGUUGAGUAACACGUAUCCAACCUGCCGUCUACUCUUGGACAGCCUUCUGAAAGGAAGAUUAAUACAAGAUGGCAUCAUGAGUCCGCAUGUUCACAUGAUUAAAGGUAUUCCGGUAGACGAUGGGGAUGCGUUCCAUUAGAUAGUAGGCGGGGUAACGGCCCACCUAGUCUUCGAUGGAUAGGGGUUCUGAGAGGAAGGUCCCCCACAUUGGAACUGAGACACGGUCCAAACUCCUACGGGAGGCAGCAGUGAGGAAUAUUGGUCAAUGGGCGAGAGCCUGAACCAGCCAAGUAGCGUGAAGGAUGACUGCCCUAUGGGUUGUAAACUUCUUUUAUAAAGGAAUAAAGUCGGGUAUGCAUACCCGUUUGCAUGUACUUUAUGAAUAAGGAUCGGCUAACUCCGUGCCAGCAGCCGCGGUAAUACGGAGGAUCCGAGCGUUAUCCGGAUUUAUUGGGUUUAAAGGGAGCGUAGAUGGAUGUUUAAGUCAGUUGUGAAAGUUUGCGGCUCAACCGUAAAAUUGCAGUUGAUACUGGAUAUCUUGAGUGCAGUUGAGGCAGGCGGAAUUCGUGGUGUAGCGGUGAAAUGCUUAGAUAUCACGAAGAACUCCGAUUGCGAAGGCAGCCUGCUAAGCUGCAACUGACAUUGAGGCUCGAAAGUGUGGGUAUCAAACAGGAUUAGAUACCCUGGUAGUCCACACGGUAAACGAUGAAUACUCGCUGUUUG
RNAcentral lists this ribosomal RNA (776 nucleotides) under uncultured bacterium. RNAcentral's name for it is "bacterial SSU rRNA". It matches the Rfam family "Bacterial small subunit ribosomal RNA", at positions 61 to 826 of the family's 1533-position model. The record is from RNAcentral.